Molecule: ribosomal RNA, 253 nt
Filed under: uncultured bacterium
Lineage: Bacteria
Description: partial 16S ribosomal RNA
Rfam family: Bacterial small subunit ribosomal RNA
Source: RNAcentral
UACGUAGGGUCCGAGCGUUGUCCGGAAUUACUGGGCGUAAAGGGCUCGUAGGCGGCCAACUAAGUCAGACGUGAAAUCCCUCGGCUUAACCGGGGAACUGCGUCUGAUACUGGAUGGCUUGAAUCCGGGAGAGGGAUGCGGAAUUCCAGGUGUAGCGGUGAAAUGCGUAGAUAUCUGGAGGAACACCGGUGGCGAAGGCGGCAUCCUGGACCGGCAUUGACGCUGAGGAGCGAAAGCCAGGGGAGCAAACAGG